Molecule: long non-coding RNA, 1589 nt
Organism: Podarcis raffonei (Aeolian wall lizard)
Lineage: Eukaryota; Metazoa; Chordata; Lepidosauria; Squamata; Lacertidae
Exons: 5
Source: RefSeq, a predicted model, not a curated record
CGAGGGAGCCGGCGUACAGCUUCUGGGUCAUGUGGCCAGCAUGACUAAGCCGCUUCUGGCAAACCAGAGCGGGGCACGUAAACACCAUUUACCUUCCCGCCAGAGCGGUACCUAUGUAUCUACUUGCACUUUGACGUGCUUUCGAACUGCUAGGUUGGCAGGAGCAGGGACCGAGCAACAGGAGCUCACCCCGUCGCGGGGAUUCGAACCACCAAACUUCUGAUUGGCAAGUCCUAGGCUCUGUGGUUUAGCCCACAGUGCCACCCGUGUCCCUACAAUUAUGCUAAACAACCAUUAAUGAGAAACACAAGACUUGGAAGAUGUGGGAACUGAGCUGGGCCCAACAAUCCCUUGGGCAAAACCAUCACCUUCCAUGAAUAUGUCAAUCCUUUGGGGUGCAAGAACCAGCCUUCAGAGACUGAGAAGCAGGUCGCCAGAGGCAUUUUGAAAAGGACACGGAACUGUCAGAAGAAAUAAAAGCUGGAUAAAUUAGCACUCUUAAAAGUUAAUUAUUACCCCAAUCCUCAUGGGCAAAAGCACAGGAUCCCAUCAAAGGAGCUUACUGAAGAUGGACUUCUUCUGCACACCCUAAUUUGACAAACCCAUAAGCUCGUUGCAGGCGUGGAGGAAUGGAUGGGUGAGGACCCCUAAGCUACAUUUAAACCCUGUCGAGACGGAGGCCUUGUGGGUGAGUGGCUCCUGCAUCCAAGAAACAGGAGAGUUACCUGCUCUAGAUGGGGCUUCACUCCCUUCUGAAUGAACAAGAAUGGAGUCCUGCCAUGCUCCUGGAUCCCUCUUUGUCACUGAAGGCACAGGUGCUGCUUCCAGUUUAGCAGUUGUGUUGAAUCGGGAACUCCUGUGCAGCCAUGCCUUUAAUGGAAAGUUACAUGUUGCAAAGGACGCCAGAUCGUCAUAAAUCAAACAGUACCAAACAAGCUCAUAAACCUUCUGGAGAUACAGACACAGAGGAAAGCCCAUUGCGGUGUUUUAAGAUAAUUUUAUCUCUAUAUGUAAAGCAAAUAGUUUACAGUGCAACUCUGAUUUUUCAUGGAACAAAGAGCAGACCUGCAACACCAACGAAUGCAAAAGUCAAGAUAAAUUCACAAGGAACAAACCACAUUGACACAAAAUAAAAAGAUGGGGUGCUCACAAAAGCAUCUCUGUGUGAAAGGGAAUGGGACAGAUCAGUGUCUGGUACAGUGUGAUACACUCAGCCAGACCCUUGCCAGAGCACUACCAAAUCACAUUUGAAAAAUCAAAGACAUUCCAGGGAAAGUAUGAACUUCAGUCUGCCAGUGGAGGUGGAAGGUGAGAUGAAUAGAUUAGUUUUGCCAAUGAGAAAGGAGUGAGAUAAAGGAUAUUUGUCCUUUAAAUUCUUCAUCUAUUUUCAUCUUCUAAAUAUUUAGAAUAAGCUCCAGAUAAAACCUAGAAUUUGCCAAUUCUCUCCAAGAUAGCCUACCCUAUCCUGUUUAGGAUAACCUAAAAUAUACAACACAUCUCUCAUUCUCUAUAAGUGAGCAAGAACUACCCAUAGUGAACAAAAACUGUGAUUCCAAACUGGUGGUGGCCCCUGGACCCUUUGAGAGCCU